CAUGCUUAACACAUGCAAGUCGAACGCGAAAGUCCUUCGGGGCGAGUAGAGUGGCGGACGGGUGAGUAACGCGUGGGAAUCUACCCUAGAGCGGGGGACAACCCGGGGAAACCCGGGCUAAUACCGCAUACGUCCUACGGGAGAAAGAGGGCCUCUGCUUGCAAGCUCUCACUCCAGGAUGAGCCCACGUCCGAUUAGCUAGUUGGUGAGGUAACGGCUCACCAAGGCGACGAUAGGUAGGGGGCGUGAGAGCGUGGCCCCCCACACGGGUACUGAGACACGGACCCGACUCCUACGGGAGGCAGCAGUAAGGAAUAUUGGACAAUGGGCGCAAGCCUGAUCCAGCCAUCCCGCGUGCAGGAUGACAGCCCUACGGGUUGUAAACUGCUUUUGUUAGGGAAGAAACCCCUCGAUUUAUCGGGGGCUGACGGUACCUUUCGAAUAAGCACCGGCUAACUCCGUG
RNAcentral lists this ribosomal RNA (463 nucleotides) under uncultured bacterium. Its description in RNAcentral is "bacterial SSU rRNA". It matches the Rfam family "Bacterial small subunit ribosomal RNA", at positions 43 to 507 of the family's 1533-position model. The record is from RNAcentral.